AUUGAACGCUGGCGGCAGGCCUAACACAUGCAAGUCGAACGAGUGGCGGACGGGUGAGUAAUGUCUGGGAAACUGCCUGAUGGCGGGGGAUAACUACUGGAAACGGUAGCUAAUACCGCAUACCAUCGGAUGUGCCCAGAUGGGAUUAGCUAGUAGGUGGGGUAACGGCUCACCUGGGCGACGAUCACUAGCUGGUCUGAGAGGAUGACCAGCGACCCUGGAACUGGGACACGGUCCAGACGCCUACGUGAGGCAGCAGUGGGGAAUAUUGCACAACGGGCGCAAGCCUGAUGCAGCCAUGCCGAGUGUAUGAAGAAGGCCCUCGGGUUGUAAAGUACUUUCAGCGGGGAGGCGUUACCCGCAGAAGAAGCACCGGCUAACUCCGUGCCAGCCGCCGCGGUAAUAC
Molecule: ribosomal RNA, 406 nt
Filed under: uncultured bacterium
Lineage: Bacteria
Description: partial 16S ribosomal RNA
Rfam family: Bacterial small subunit ribosomal RNA
Source: RNAcentral